Long non-coding RNA from Oncorhynchus keta (chum salmon), 2004 nucleotides. RefSeq lists it as uncharacterized. The transcript is spliced from 3 exons. The record is from RefSeq and is a predicted model, not a curated record. NCBI's taxonomy places the organism in Eukaryota, Metazoa, Chordata, Actinopteri, Salmoniformes, Salmonidae.
UCUGUACAUAUAAAUAUAUGGAUGAGCGAUGGCCGAACGUCAUAGGAAAGAUGCAGUAGAUGGUGUAGAAUACACUAUAUACAUGUAGGAUAUGUGAACCUUAUUAAAGUGCGUUAUUUAAAGUGACUAGUGAUACGUGAUACGUUUAUUUAAGUGGCCAGAGAUUUGAGUCUGUCUGUUGGCAGCAGCCUCUCUAGUUGUACAUGCCCUUUAGGUUUUGUUUCUCUCUAUCUGAAAAACAUGGAUAUAAAAACAGUAGUAGGAGAUUGGUGGCACCUCAGCAUCCCAGAGUUGCCUCUUCACUGUUGACAUUGAGACUGGUAUUUUGCGGGUACUAUUUAAUGAAGCUGCCAGUUGAGGACUUGUGAGGCAUCUGUUUAUCAAACUAGACACUCUAAUGUACUUGUCCUCUUGCUCCGUUGUGCCCCGGGGCCUUCCACUCCUCUUUCUAUUCUGGUUAGGGCCAGUUUGCUCUGUUCUGUGAAGGGAGUAGUACACAGCGUUGUACGAGAUCUUCAGAUUCUUAGAAAUUUCACACAUGGGAAUAGCCUACAUUUCUCAGAACAAGAAUAGACUGACGAGUUUCAGAAGAAAGUCCUUUGUUUCUAGCCAUUUUGAGCCUGUAAUCAAACCCACAAAUGCUGAUGCUCCAGAUACUCAACUAGUCUAAAGAAGACCAGUUUUAUUGCUUCCUUAAUCAGAACAACAGUUUUCAGCUGUGCUAACAACAUUGCAAAGGGGUUUUCUAAUGAUCAAUUAGCCUUUUAAAAUGAUAAACUUGGAUUAGCUAACACAACGUGCCAUUGGAACACAGGAGUGAUGGUUGCUGAUAAUGGGCCUCUGUACGCCUAUGUAGAUAUUCCAUUAAACAUCAGCCAUUUACAGCUACAAUAGGCAUUUACAACAUUAACAACGUCUACACUGUAUUUCUGAUCAAUUUUAUGUUAUUUUAAUGGACAAAAAAUGUGCUUUUCUUUCAAAAACAAGGACAUUUCUAAGUGACCCCAAACUUUUGAACGCUAGUGUACAUAUUGCUAAAGCUUACGUUGGAGAUUUACAAUAUUAACAUAAUUAAUAAUAAUAAUCAAUAUUGUCAACAGGACAACAGUAACAACAAUAAUCAAGGGUAUAAGUAACCAUACAUUGAACAAUAAGCAUAGAGGACAUUUACAGGUUGGUUGGUCUGUCAGACACUGUCCCUCAUCUUAUGGCAGGCAGCAAUGUAGUGCGCUGCCAACCCACAGCUCUCUGCGUCCUCCUCCAACAGGACGGGUAGCCUAUCCUCAUCAGAAAGGUCUUCAAUGUAGUGCGCUGCCAACCCACAGCUCUCUGCGUCCUCCUCCAACAGGACGGGUAGCCUAUCCUCAUCAGAAAGGUCUUCAAUGUAGUGCGCUGCCAACCCACAGCUCUCUGCGUCCUCCUCCAACAGGAUGGGUAGCCUAUCCUCAUCAGAAAGGUCUUUGAAACCGGUUUCAAAUGGUUUUAUAUAUUUUAUAUUUUGUCAGGAAUGCAGCUCUGCCUCGGUGCUGUUGUGCAGUGUUUGCACAGCCUUUCCUCUACAGGGAGCCAGGUUCUGCUGUGGUGCAGUGGUUGCACAGCCUUUCCUCUACAGGGAGCCAGGUUCUGCUGUGGUGCAGUGGUUGCACAGCCUUUCCUCUACAGGGAGCCAGGUUCUGCUGUGGUGCAGUGGUUGCACAGCCUUUCCUCUACAGGGAGCCAGGUUCUGCUGUUGUGCAGUGGUUGCACAGCCUUUCCUCUACAGGGAGCCAGGUUCUGCUGUGGUGCAGUGGUUGCACAGCCUUUCCUCUACAGGGAGCCAGGUUCUGCUGUGGUGCAGUGGUUGCACAGCCUUUCCUCUACAGGGAGCCAGGUUCUGCUGUGGUGCAGUGGUUACACAGCCUUUCCUCUACAGGGAGCCAGGUUCUGCUGUGGUGCAGUGGUUACACAGCCUUUCCUCUACAGGGAGCCAGGUUCUGCUGUGGUGCAGUGGUUGCACAGCCUUUC